Long non-coding RNA from Haliotis rufescens (red abalone), 1759 nucleotides. RefSeq lists it as uncharacterized. The transcript has 2 exons. NCBI's taxonomy places the organism in Eukaryota, Metazoa, Mollusca, Gastropoda, Lepetellida, Haliotidae. The record is from RefSeq and is a predicted model, not a curated record.
CACCCCCGCCCCUGUACAAGAUGCUUGUCUCCCCCUCUGUACCCAAUCCUUAUCUUCUUCCCUUCGGGGUACCAUUUUCCAAAGUGUCUCUUUAACCCCAAGGUCAAGGACUUAACAAUAGAGACAAGGUUUAGAUUUGGAGAGAUUUUAGAGUGGAAGGAAUAUUUUCAAAAUGAUUCAAAAUAAUAUUGAUGAUUAAAAUAGUAUUGCUGAUUUAUACAGCACCAGAUUCUAUGCAGAAGGGUGCUGAAAACACAUGAUCCAUGUCAAAUAAUGUGUGUGCUCAUUUUAUUCUCAACUCCCUGAGGAGUAUGUAAGCUUUAAUUUUGUCAAAGGUUGUGAUAAAUUUAUUGACAUUUUGUUAUAGUUCUAUAAAGAAUCUCUAAAAUUCAUUGGUUGAUCCUUAUCAUGUGAUGAAACAAUAAAUUUCAAUGCUGACCUAACAAUAGAAACUGACCCGAAAAGGUUUGGUCAAAUCACGUUUCUGACACUGACUUCGAAUAUUGAUUCUUCACAUGAUCACUCUUGUUUUGUACUUUCGUAAUAUUGAUCAAUACUGACAUGGUGUCCGUGAGUGGCAAUGUACAGUUUGCCAAUCUUUCUGAAGAUUAAUUUUUUUUCGAUAAAAUCCCUGCACCCCCACCCAUUCCCCUAGAAUAUAAAAUGGUCGGACCCUAAACAAAUAUUGUUUUCGUGUUUGAGUUGGACAUAUUGUCCUCUCCUCCCUUCCACUUGUAAGCAGACAGUGUAUACAUGUUUGAGUUGGAUGUAGGGACAGGGCAUCGCCUUGUGCCACCAGGAGUGUUACCGUGGUUACAUGAGUCAGUACAGGAUGAUGAUGAUGAGGGUGGGAACAUAGUUUCCUGGUAAGCGAAACAAUUUUGAGUCUACUAUUUCGAACAUGGCUCUGGACCUCACUUUCAUCCAACUUAGUGUUAACAUAUGGACUAUUAUUAGCUGAGCUUACCAGACCAAACAGAAUUUUACUAGACUCAGGCUUCGAAUUAGGGCUAAAUUCGCGUAGUGGUAAAACAAUAUGGGUGCAUGGAUACGAGUUGUGAAGAAAAUAUGAUUUUAUAGAGAUUUAUGAUGAUUCGAGAAAAUAUUUGUACAGUGUGAUUCUUCAAGCAACUAUAUGUAUGAAAGGGGAUGAUACAAAAUCAAAUAUACUGAACAAAUAAAGUUAGGGAUCAUGAAUAUUUCUGGGAUACUUUUUGGUUGUGAAGACAGCAUACAAUCUCAUAAAAAUAUUUAUGAUCCCUAACUUUUUUUGUUCAGUAUAUGUAAGGAGGACAUAUAUACAAAUGACUUUAUUAAAUACUAUUCCUGACAGUGUGUACUAAUUUGGUAAUGCGUUGUCUAAGUGUCUCAAGGUCUAUUACUGAAGCCCUUGCACCAGGCUCCAUUUGCUUAAUGUAGAAAUACUUGCUCUCAUGGAGACAGAAAAGUGGUCCAAGGCCACGUUCCACAAGGCGAUCGUAGCACUGCGACUGUCGUAAGUCUAUGUUAAAGUAUGGGAGUUAUGAUCAUCUUAGCGUUAUGGUCGCUUUGUGGAACGGGACCCAAACUUGUAGAGAACAUCUCUGGUCUGAAUGCAAUAUAAUGUUUUUUUAUGAUGGUGACCAAAGAUGACUUGUGAGUGACUGAAGCUGGUAGACCAGGUUCUGUCUCCGAUAUACAUCCUGUUGACUGACAAAAAUAAUAGUAUAUGUGGAUAUACAGUGUACAUGCUUGUCAGAAUAAACGUUUAUACAGUUUA